CAUAGCCUUCUGAAACUUUCACCUUUUGUGGACUAAAUUGAUCCAAGUAUGGCCUCUUUCUGAAGGCCAACCUCAGUCAGAGCAGAAUUCACAAAUGUUUUAGAAAGCCUGCCCACUAUCAGCUCGCACUGUGAUUAAAUGUGUCACUUGGAUUUAACUAUUGACUAGCAAUGUGACCGAGUAGUCCACAAUGAAUUACGGGCCAACACAUCAAGCCUGAAGCAAGACAUUGGUGAAGCCUGUGAUGUUCCUAUAUUAAUGUAUAUAUGCAGCUAACAUUAUCUUGUAUCAUCACCUGAUUGUUCAGUAAAUCUUGCCAACCUAACAACAGAGAAAUAUUUUACUACUUAACCAAUGCCAAUUGCUGGAUUUUACCUUCUCCUGUUCCCUGUUGUAAGAACAAAUGUACAAAUGGCAAUCAACGUUCAAGAUAGUAUUGACCUCUGACAUUGGCAUUUCCUUCCAAAGAACCACCAUGGCUAAUGAAACCUGUUCAAGGAAGUCCAAGGAAUUGGUAUUUUGAAAGGAACCGGAUAACUUGCUCAGUACGGAAUGAUGGAGACCACUGUGGCAUCAGACCAGAGGCAAAGCAAAAAAGGGAAGGGCUGGCUGGAGUGAAAGAAAUCACAGGAGGGCUGGAUAUAGCCUGCAAGGGCUGGGAUUGAACAUGAUCAUUUUUGUUUGCAUUCAGCAUCAGUUCAGACAACUGCUGAGAGUUAAGAAGAGAGGCAGACAUCGCCAUGGUCAAACAAAAGCAAUCGGUUUUCCUCUUCCUUAAAGCACAGAGUGAAAGAAAACAGCUGCAGGCAAGAAAGAACGGAAGCAUGGAAAGGUACUCCUGUGGCACCUCUUUCUUUAAUUUCCACACAGGAGAAUCAAAUGAAGUUGUAGGUUGACAAAAUUGAUCCUGGCAAGUGUCAUUUCUGAGUGUGAAAUAUGUUGCAUUUUUUGUGAGGAAAGAAAUGUUGGAUUAGCGGAGAAACAUUAAUGAG
Molecule: long non-coding RNA, 992 nt
Organism: Rhineura floridana
Lineage: Eukaryota; Metazoa; Chordata; Lepidosauria; Squamata; Rhineuridae
Exons: 4
Source: RefSeq, a predicted model, not a curated record